GCGCGAAAACUUCACACUGCAGGAAACUGUGAUGAGGGAACUCCAAGUGACUGCCCAAUGGGUAGCCUUUUCUUGAAUCUUAAUAGUUCUUGGAAUAAGGGCUGGGAAAGACCGGUGCCAGCCGCCGCGGUAAUACCGGCAGCUCAAGUGGUCGUCGCUUUUAUUGGGCCUAAAACGUCCGUAGCCUGUUUGGUAAAUCUGUGGGUAAAUCAACGAGCUUAACUCGUUGAAUUCUGCAGAGACUGCCAGACUAGGGACCGGGAGAGGUAUGAGGUACUCUGGGGGUAGGGGUAAAAUCCUGUCAUCCUCAGAGGACCACCUGUUGCGAAGGCGUCAUACUGGAACGGAUCCGACGGUCAGGGACGAAGCCUAGGGGCACGAACCGGAUUAGAUACCCGGGUAGUCCUAGGUGUAAACGCUGUGGAUUUGGUGUGUGGGGUCCGCAAUGGGCCCCAUGUGCCGGAGUGAAGAUGUUAAAUCCACU
This 484-nucleotide ribosomal RNA is filed under the name uncultured Nitrososphaerota archaeon. RNAcentral describes it as "bacterial SSU rRNA". It matches the Rfam family "Archaeal small subunit ribosomal RNA", at positions 339 to 825 of the family's 1478-position model. Lineage: Archaea; Thermoproteati; Nitrososphaerota. The record is from RNAcentral.